AAAUUAGGGUUUGAUUCCGGAGAAGGAGCCUGAGAAACGGCUGCUACUUCUAAGGAAGGCAGCAGGCGCGUAAAUUACUCAAUGUCCAAAGGAUGAAGUAGUGACAAAAAAUAACAAAAGCGGCCAUCAAAUGGUUGCUUAUUGGAAUGAGAGAGAUUUAAAAUCACCAUCGAGUAGCGAGUGGAGGGCAAGUCAGGUGCCAGCAGCCGCGGUAAUUCCAGCUCCACGAGCGUAUAUUAAUGCUGUUGACGUUAAAAAGUUCGUAGUCUAACUUCGUGCUGGCUUCGACCUGGCCCGCCACAUUGGCGUGUGCCGUUCGAACCGGUAUUUUCUCCAGAUUGAGGACCCUGGGCAUUAAUUUGCUCGGGUGCACCUUAUCUGGUCGCUUACUUUGCCUAAAUAGGAGCGCUCAACGCAACGCUUACGCGUGUUGAACUUCUCGCAUGGAAUAAUGGAACAAGACUUUCUCCUUGUUUUGUUGGUUUUAAAGGAAAAAGUAAUGAUAAAUGGAAGCGGGUGGGGCGAUUUGUAUUUGCUGGCCAGAGGUGAAAUUCGAGGAUUCAGCAAAGACACACUACUGCGAAGGCAUCUCGCAAGGACGCUUUCGUCGAUCAAGAACGAUAGUCGAGGGAUCGAAGAUGAUCAGAUACCGUCGUAGUCUCGACCGUAAACGAUGCCGACCAGGGAUUCGAGGAAGAUACUCGAAUGUCUCCUUGAGAACCUUAUUGAGAAAUCAGAGUUUUUGGGUUCGUGGGGGAGUAUGGUUGCAAAGCUGAAACUUAAAGGAAUUGACGGAAGGGCACCACCAGGAGUGGAGCUUGCGGCUUAAUUUGACCCAACACGGGAAAACUCACCAGGUCCAGACAAAGGAAGGAUUGCCAGAUUGAGAGCUCUUGCAAGAUUCUUUGGUUGGUGGUGCAUGGCCGUUCUUAGUUGGUGGAGUGAUUUGUCUGGUUAAUUCCGUUAACGAACGAGACCUUCUCUUGCUAAUUAGUCUGCUCAUCCUCUGUCCGGUGAAGGGGGAAGUGCGUCGGGAGGUAAAAUGCCUGGCCACGGCCCUUGGAUCCAUGAUGCGAUGAACUUUGGACUUCUUAGAGGGACUUUCGAUUUCCAAGUCGAAGGAAGAUGGAGGCAAUAACAGGUCUGUGAUGCCCUUAGAUGUCCUGGGCCGCACGCGAGCUACAAUGAAGAGUUCAACAAGCAUUUCCUUGGCCGAGAGGUCCGGGUAAUCUUUGAAUGCUCUUCGUGCUGGGGAUUGUCGUUUGCAAUUUUUCGACAUGGACGAGGAAUUCCUAGUAGACGCAAGUCAUCAGCUUGCGUCGAUUACGUCCCUGCCCUUUGUACACACCUCCCGUCGCUCCUACCGAUGGCUGAGACUGUGAGGACACCGGACCGCAGCGGCGUUUCGGGGGCAACUCCGUUGCCGCAGCGGGAAGUCGUUCAAACAUUCUCUGUUAGAGGAAGGAGAAGUCGUAACAAGGUA
Molecule: ribosomal RNA, 1483 nt
Filed under: metagenome
Description: SSU rRNA
Rfam family: Eukaryotic small subunit ribosomal RNA
Source: RNAcentral